This 432-nucleotide long non-coding RNA is filed under the name Hordeum vulgare. RNAcentral describes it as "long non-coding RNA (HVUL_LNC002436)". The record is from RNAcentral. Lineage: Eukaryota; Viridiplantae; Streptophyta; Magnoliopsida; Poales; Poaceae.
CACAUUUCAACAAGAUAGAUAACAAUCUCCUCCCACUUUUAUUAGCAAAAUAGCUUAUACAUAACAUUUCUUGAAACUAGCAACACAAAUUGCAUACAUGAAAACACAACCACCGUCGAAGCACAUUUUGCAGGACAUAGCUUAUAACUUGGAGGAGAAUGAAACCACAUAUCAAGGCUUUGUGGAGGAUGCAGUUCCAUUGGCCAUCACGCCGUCGAACCCACAACAAUAUGGGUCCCUAGGACAACAAGGUGGAUCGUGUCGCAUAAGCCUACCGGCUGCUAGCGCUAUCGGCACGGCCAUCGUCAUGAGUAAGCAGACUUGUGCGAUGAGAAAAGCAGUGAAGACUUGGAGGAUGCUAUUAUUUGCCAUCGCCUAAGUUCACAGUGAGCGGUAGAGAACACUAUGCAAUUCUCCUUUCACUAGUAUCUC